This 497-nucleotide ribosomal RNA is filed under the name uncultured bacterium. RNAcentral's name for it is "partial 16S ribosomal RNA". It matches the Rfam family "Bacterial small subunit ribosomal RNA", at positions 28 to 507 of the family's 1533-position model. The record is from RNAcentral.
GAUGAACGCUGGCGGCGUGCCUAAUACAUGCAAGUCGAGCGAACAGACGAGGAGCUUGCUCCUCUGACGUUAGCGGCGGACGGGUGAGUAACACGUGGAUAACCUACCUAUAAGACUGGGAUAACUUCGGGAAACCGGAGCUAAUACCGGAUAAUAUAUUGAACCGCAUGGUUCAAUAGUGAAAGACGGUUUUGCUGUCACUUAUAGAUGGAUCCGCGCCGCAUUAGCUAGUUGGUAAGGUAACGGCUUACCAAGGCAACGAUGCGUAGCCGACCUGAGAGAGGGAUCGGCCACACUGGAACUGAGACACGGUCCAGACUCCUACGGGAGGCAGCAGUAGGGAAUCUUCCGCAAUGGGCGAAAGCCUGACGGAGCAACGCCGCGUGAGUGAUGAAGGUCUUCGGAUCGUAAAACUCUGUUAUUAGGGAAGAACAAAUGUGUAAGUAACUAUGCACGUCUUGACGGUACCUAAUCAGAAAGCCACGGCUAACUACGUG